GGGUACGAUCAUACCAGCACUAAUGCACCAGAUCCCAUCAGAACUAUGCAGUCAAGCAUGCCUGGGCAAGAGUAGUACUUGUAUGGGUGACCUUCUGGGAAGUCCACAUAUUGCACCCC
Molecule: non-coding RNA, 119 nt
Organism: Gossypium raimondii (Peruvian cotton)
Lineage: Eukaryota; Viridiplantae; Streptophyta; Magnoliopsida; Malvales; Malvaceae
Source: Rfam